GGACUAUAGCUCAGUGGUAGAGCGCUUGCCUCACAUGUAUGAGGCACUGGGUUCUAUCCUCAGCUCCA
Molecule: transfer RNA, 68 nt
Filed under: Marmota monax (woodchuck)
Lineage: Eukaryota; Metazoa; Chordata; Mammalia; Rodentia; Sciuridae
Description: tRNA.Val
Rfam family: tRNA
About the family: Transfer RNA (tRNA) molecules are approximately 80 nucleotides in length. Their secondary structure includes four short double-helical elements and three loops (D, anti-codon, and T loops). Further hydrogen bonds mediate the characteristic L-shaped molecular structure. tRNAs have two regions of fundamental functional importance: the anti-codon, which is responsible for specific mRNA codon recognition, and the 3' end, to which the tRNAs corresponding amino acid is attached (by aminoacyl-tRNA synthetases). tRNAs cope with the degeneracy of the genetic code in two manners: having more than one tRNA (with a specific anti-codon) for a particular amino acid; and 'wobble' base-pairing, i.e. permitting non-standard base-pairing at the 3rd anti-codon position.
Source: RNAcentral